AAUUAUACCUAAUAAAACUGAAAAAGGAAAAAAAAAAAAAAGAAAAGGAGUGAAGAGUGACAGUUUUCCUGGGUGGUCGCUGUUCUGUUUGCUGUAACCAAUCUGCAACAUUUCAGAAAAAGACAGUU
RNAcentral lists this small nucleolar RNA (128 nucleotides) under Camelus bactrianus (Bactrian camel). The record is from RNAcentral. Lineage: Eukaryota; Metazoa; Chordata; Mammalia; Artiodactyla; Camelidae. RNAcentral also lists the same sequence under 1 other name.